Molecule: long non-coding RNA, 552 nt
Filed under: Ananas comosus (pineapple)
Lineage: Eukaryota; Viridiplantae; Streptophyta; Magnoliopsida; Poales; Bromeliaceae
Description: long non-coding RNA (ACOM_LNC006469)
Source: RNAcentral
AAAAAAAACAAAAAAACAAAAAAAAAAAAAACAAAGAAAGAACGAAAGAAAAAAGACGCAUGCAGUAGCUAGCUAGUACUGAAUACAUUCAAACAAAAGCAUAUAGAACAGGACGGACAUCACGUUGCACGCAGCGAGUAAGAACAUAACGUGGGACAUGCAUGAAAAUAAAAUAGAGACUUGCAUGCAUGAUAAAAUGCCUAUGUGCUGCUAGGCUCGGACAUCCCGCGGCGGACCUUCUCAAUAUACUCCUUGGCCUUCCUAUCUACGUCGGGCUUGGCGUACCAGUAAUCGUUGUCGUCAUUGCUCGGCCGCACCUUCCUCUCAUAUUUGCUGUGUUCGGGCUCGGCCUCUUCUUCCACGUACCUCGCCUUCUUGAAUCCAAAUAAGGAAAGCAGAGGCUUCUUUCCUUUACCCAUUAUCGAUCGAUCGAUCGAUCGAUCGAUCUACUCCUUAAUUAAUUUGCUGUAACCACAACGAUUACUAGCUCUCUCUCUCUCUCUCUCUGUCUCUAUGUCUACACUAGCUAGAUGUUGUAUUAAUUGUUUUGCC